RNAcentral lists this ribosomal RNA (250 nucleotides) under uncultured prokaryote. Its description in RNAcentral is "partial 16S ribosomal RNA". It matches the Rfam family "Bacterial small subunit ribosomal RNA", at positions 524 to 773 of the family's 1533-position model. The record is from RNAcentral.
UACAGAGGGGGCAAGCGUUGUCUGGAAUUAUUGGGUGUAAAGGGUGCGUAGACGGAGAAGCAAGUUGGUUGUGAAAUCCCUCGGCUUAACUGAGGAACUGCAACCAAAACUAUUUCCCUUGAGUGUCGGAGGGGAAAGUGGAAUUCCUAGUGUAGCGGUGAAAUGCGUAGAUAUUAGGAGGAACACCGGUGGCGAAGGCGACUUUCUGGACGAUAACUGACGUUGAUGCACGAAAGUGUGGGGAGCAAAC